CAUGUCCUUUUGAUUAUAAUUUAAGGUCUGACCUGCCCAAUGAGGAUUUAAAUGGCCGCGAUAAUUUGAUCGUGCGAAGGUAGCAUAAUCAUUAGUUUCUUAAUUGGAAGCUGGAAUGAAUGGUUGGACGAGGAAUAUACUGUCUCGGUGUUAUUAUAUUGAACUUUAUUUUUAAGUAAAAAAGCUUAAAUGUAAAUUGAAGACGAGAAGACCCUAUAGAGUUUUAUAUAUAAUUAAUUAUUUAGCUUGAGGAAUUUAUUGUUAUCGAAUUUAUUAUAUAUUUGGUUGGGGUGACAGAAAAAUUGAACAAACUUUUUCUUUAUUAUUAUAUUGAUUGGUAGAUUUUUGAUCCACUAUUAGUGAUUAAAAGAUAAAAUUACCUUAGGGAUAACAGCGUAAUCUUUCUUGAGAGUUCUAAUCGAAAGAAGGGGUUGCGACCUCGAUGUUGGAUUAAAGUUUAUUUUUGGUGUAGAAGCUAAAAUAUUUAGUCUGUUCGACUAUUAAAACUUUACAUGAUCUGAGU
This 523-nucleotide ribosomal RNA is filed under the name Sphenoptera coracina. Its description in RNAcentral is "partial 16S ribosomal RNA". It matches the Rfam family "Bacterial large subunit ribosomal RNA", at positions 1816 to 2610 of the family's 2925-position model. The record is from RNAcentral. Lineage: Eukaryota; Metazoa; Arthropoda; Insecta; Coleoptera; Buprestidae.